CAGAUUUCGAAUCGUCUCUUUAUCUCGUUACUUGCUUCGUCACUGGUUAAACAACGAACGAAGGCUGUACCAUGUUUUCGCGGUGUAUUAUCUUUGGUAAAGAGUUUUCGACACAGAUGAAACCGAUAAGAGGUGGUCUCGGUGACCUGGAAGUCAGGUUAGAGCCGGUACACCGGCUAACACGUGGAAUCAAUAAAUUCGAUAGAGAAAUCGUGAUUCGAUAAUUCUUAUCUCCUCGAGUUAUAAAUGUAAGUUUCCUCGCGGAUUAUCGGAUUGUCAAUAAUGUAUGUAUUAUUGCUCGUUAGUUCAUGCUUGCAAAAUAAAUAAGCAAACACUCCUUAAUUCAAACUACACUGCGCUAAGAAUCAUUGUUUUAUCAUCUUUAAUCUUCGACCUUGUAUGAUCAGCCUCUGUCAUCUCGUGUCGCAGUGAAUUUCGCAAAGCGAUUUGUAAUUCAUCAGGCGUGUUAAACCUGCUGAGACGCGUGAUUCGUAACAGUUGAGUAAUUUGCUGCAACCGCGUGUUUUUUCUCUUUCAGAUUCUUUGAGAUGUCGACGCAAGUCGAAAGUCGUGUUCAAACACGAUGUAAAGAUAACACCUGGCGCGUAACUAUAACGCAUGGCAAGUUAAUAAGGAAGUUUCAUAGAAUAAGGGUAACAUAGCGGAGACGGUUUUACUUCAGUUACAAAGGAAACGGAAACGACCUGUCGAUCUAUUAACAUAAUUUGCGCAGAAAUUUAUGUCGGACGAUCGAUGAUUGUGUCAGAGGUAUGAGCAAUAGGAGAAACAGCAGUAAUUUCUAACGUUGUAUUCGACGAAGAAACAAGAAUGGCCGCGUUUAAGACGCGAAAUUCUUAUCUAAGCAAGAUAAAUCUUCCGCUGUAUGCGAUUCUAAUUGUAAGAGCGCGGAGAGAAGUGCAUCAUUGGCUCACGGUGCACGAGUCUGCCAUGCGAGUAAAACUGCACACGUCAUGAUUAUUCAGCAAAGAAUUCUAUAAGGUUUGACCAUAACAUCAAAUACAAUUGUUACACCUUA
Long non-coding RNA from Ceratina calcarata, 1036 nucleotides. RefSeq lists it as uncharacterized. Lineage: Eukaryota; Metazoa; Arthropoda; Insecta; Hymenoptera; Apidae. The transcript is spliced from 2 exons. The record is from RefSeq and is a predicted model, not a curated record.